Molecule: ribosomal RNA, 137 nt
Filed under: Escherichia coli
Lineage: Bacteria; Pseudomonadati; Pseudomonadota; Gammaproteobacteria; Enterobacterales; Enterobacteriaceae
Also listed under: 2 other names
Description: partial 23S ribosomal RNA
Rfam family: Bacterial large subunit ribosomal RNA
Source: RNAcentral
GGUUAAGCGACUAAGCGUACACGGUGGAUGCCCUGGCAGUCAGAGGCGAUGAAGGACGUGCUAAUCUGCGAUAAGCGUCGGUAAGGUGAUAUGAACCGUUAUAACCGGCGAUUUCCGAAUGGGGAAACCCAGUGUGA